Molecule: unclassified non-coding RNA, 211 nt
Filed under: plant metagenome
Description: partial contains small subunit ribosomal RNA, internal transcribed spacer 1, and 5.8S ribosomal RNA
Source: RNAcentral
UAUCCGUAGGUGAACCCGCGGAAGGAUCAUUCAUAAUAAAGUGUUUUAUGGCACUUUUUAAAAAUCCAUAUCCACCCUGUGUGCAAUGUUAGAUCUCGUCAAUCUUGGCGAGAUUUUUAUACAUCAACUCAUUCUUUAACUAAAUUGUCUGAAAAAUAUUAUGAAUACUUAAUUCAAAAUACAACUUUCAACAACGGAUCUCUUGGCUCUC